GGGGCUGUAGCGCAGUGGCCGUCGCGCCUCUACCGCAUGGAGGAGGACACCGGUUCGAAUCCGGUCGGUCCCA
This 73-nucleotide transfer RNA is filed under the name Streptomyces sp. TSRI0281. It matches the Rfam family "tRNA". From Rfam's summary of the family: Transfer RNA (tRNA) molecules are approximately 80 nucleotides in length. Their secondary structure includes four short double-helical elements and three loops (D, anti-codon, and T loops). The record is from Rfam by way of RNAcentral. RNAcentral also lists the same sequence under 1 other name. Lineage: Bacteria; Bacillati; Actinomycetota; Actinomycetes; Kitasatosporales; Streptomycetaceae.